RNAcentral lists this ribosomal RNA (492 nucleotides) under uncultured bacterium. Its description in RNAcentral is "partial 16S ribosomal RNA". It matches the Rfam family "Bacterial small subunit ribosomal RNA", at positions 29 to 507 of the family's 1533-position model. The record is from RNAcentral.
AGUGAACGCUGGCGGUAGGCCUAACACAUGCAAGUCGAACGGCAGCACAGUAAGAGCUUGCUCUUACGGGUGGCGAGUGGCGGACGGGUGAGGAAUACAUCGGAAUCUACUUUUUCGUGGGGGAUAACGUAGGGAAACUUACGCUAAUACCGCAUACGACCUACGGGUGAAAGCAGGGGAUCUUCGGACCUUGCGCGAUUGAAUGAGCCGAUGUCGGAUUAGCUAGUUGGCGGGGUAAAGGCCCACCAAGGCGACGAUCCGUAGCUGGUCUGAGAGGAUGGCCAGCCACACUGGAACUGAGACACGGUCCAGACUCCUACGGGGGGCCGCAGUGGGGAAUAUUGGCCAAUGGGCGCAAGCCUGAUCCAGCCAUACCGAGUGGGUGAAGAAGGCCUUCGGGUUGUAAAGCCCUUUUGUUGGGAAAGAAAAGCAGCAGGUUAAUACCCCGCUGUUCUGACGGUACCCAACGAAUAAGCACCGGCUAACUUCGUG